RNAcentral lists this ribosomal RNA (255 nucleotides) under uncultured bacterium. Its description in RNAcentral is "partial 16S ribosomal RNA". It matches the Rfam family "Bacterial small subunit ribosomal RNA", at positions 202 to 462 of the family's 1533-position model. The record is from RNAcentral.
AAGGCCUCAUGCUAUAGGAGCGGCCGAUGUCUGAUUAGCUAGUUGGUGGGGUAAAGGCCCACCAAGGCGACGAUCAGUAGCUGGUCUGAGAGGACGAUCAGCCACACUGGGAGUGAGACACGGCCCAGACUCCUACGGGAGGCAGCAGUGGGGAAUUUUGGACAAUGGGGGCAACCCUGAUCCAGAAAGGCCGCGUGUGUGAAGAAGGCCUUCGGGUGUAAAUUAAAUGGGUCCGGAAAGAAAUCGCACUUACUA